This 1076-nucleotide unclassified non-coding RNA is filed under the name Hevea brasiliensis (rubber tree). The record is from RNAcentral. Lineage: Eukaryota; Viridiplantae; Streptophyta; Magnoliopsida; Malpighiales; Euphorbiaceae.
AAAAACAAAAAAAAAAAAAAAAUGAAUAAAGGAAUAAGACAUCCACUGAAAUUUGAAGUUGCAAAAAGAAUACAGCAGCACUUUGAAACUAAAGAGUCAUACUUUUUUUGGCCUUUAAUAUAGAAAUAUAUAACCAACUAUUUAUUGCUCAAAUAGAUGACUUCAAACAGUUUGUUGGAUUGCCAGAUUACUGAUGAAGGGAGACUCAAGUUAAGAUAAUAGAAGCAGGAUCCCAACCAAACUGAAUUGUUCUCAGUUCUAUUUAUUUAAUCAGGUUAAAACCUAUUUACCAAUCUGGACAAGUUAUUAUUACUUCUGGUUAGAAAAGGAACAAUAUUACUUCUGGUUAGAAAAGGAACAAACUGACAAGACAAAUGGACUUAUUAAAACCCAGAAAUCCUACACUCUUUUAAAUGGUUGUUAAGCUUAGCAACAGCCCAUCAAUCACCAAAUCUUCUUUUAAUCUGUUAUAAAGACUGAAAAUGGGUAGUCACUCCUAGAAAACUCAUCCAUUUACGUUAUUUGAUCUCCUUGUAACUUGGGGAGGCUAGCGGGAAAAGGGGGUUAAGGACUGUCCACCAGAGAUACAAGUGACUUAUUUCCUAUGGAAUUACCCUUGUAGCUUUUAUUCUUCCAGGUAAUGACCACCAUAUGAAAACUCCCGAUUAAUAGACAAAAUAUGAUUGAAGAGCAAAGAGUUUUACAAAAAUAAAACAUUACAGUAGGGAUGGCAGUGACAACACAAGUAAUAGCAGCAGCCUUGGUUCCGGCACGAACACCUUCUUGAGUGCAACGUUUAGAUUCCAAAAUCCUCUGAUCCUCAGCUGGAGAAGGUAUCACAAAGGAAGUAUUAUACUUUUUGCUCCUCAGCGUCUGAGCCAAGUAAUCUCUAAUUUCUGAUGGGAUCCCCAUUAGUCUGUUCUCCCUAAUUUCAAUCUCCUUCUUCAAAACUAAAAAGAUUUUAAGCUUCUUCAAAAUCAAAACGCGAAAACGGAACUGAUGUCCGAGAUUUGAUAAAGAAAGAGUCCAGUCGUGAUUGUGCGUCUGCGCGGCGAACUGGAUCAAAUUGGCCCUUC